Molecule: transfer RNA, 73 nt
Filed under: Ailuropoda melanoleuca (giant panda)
Lineage: Eukaryota; Metazoa; Chordata; Mammalia; Carnivora; Ursidae
Rfam family: tRNA
About the family: Transfer RNA (tRNA) molecules are approximately 80 nucleotides in length. Their secondary structure includes four short double-helical elements and three loops (D, anti-codon, and T loops). Further hydrogen bonds mediate the characteristic L-shaped molecular structure. tRNAs have two regions of fundamental functional importance: the anti-codon, which is responsible for specific mRNA codon recognition, and the 3' end, to which the tRNAs corresponding amino acid is attached (by aminoacyl-tRNA synthetases). tRNAs cope with the degeneracy of the genetic code in two manners: having more than one tRNA (with a specific anti-codon) for a particular amino acid; and 'wobble' base-pairing, i.e. permitting non-standard base-pairing at the 3rd anti-codon position.
Source: Rfam by way of RNAcentral
GCCCGGCUGGCUCAGUUGAUAGAGCAUGCAACUCUUGAUCUCAAGGUUGUGAGUUCAAGCCCCACAUUGGGCA